ACAACACUCGGUAUUUUUAAGUUUUCUGGAGAUUCAACUGUCGGAUCGCGACGAAAUUUUACACUGUGUUGGUAGACAAAAUUCCGCACAAUCUCACCGAAGGGGUUGUCAAAAUAAUGAUUGGAUCAACGGGAAACAUGCGAACAAGUCAGACAUUCGUGGUGUUACGAACGGCCGCAAGGAAUCCGAACAACACUUGGUGUUUUGGAGUUGGCCGGAGAUUUCACCGUCGGAUCGAGACGAAAUUUCACACAAUUUCGCACAAUCUCACCGAUGAAAUUGUAGAAAUAAUAUUUUAGGCUACAGAUACUUUGCGAGAGAAGAAGGAGGCAGGAGAAAGAAAAAGAUUAAGCAAAAGGAGAGCAAAAGGAAGUAAAAGAAAAAACGUUAAAAAACCAUCCUACCCUUCUAAGUUUGGGAGGGGGGUUGUAUUGAAUUAGGCCU
Molecule: long non-coding RNA, 444 nt
Filed under: Brachypodium distachyon (stiff brome)
Lineage: Eukaryota; Viridiplantae; Streptophyta; Magnoliopsida; Poales; Poaceae
Description: long non-coding RNA (BDIS_LNC001932)
Source: RNAcentral